AAAGUGUUAUUUGACUGGAGUGAGGUCUCAUGUCUGCUUAUGCGGUGGCUCGCUGCUCAGAACAGGGAGGAAGAGGGUAAUCUGGAAGAGUUUCCUGACCUACUCUGCUGCUGUGAUUAAACAACCACCAGGAAAUUUUGAUGACACUGUUCUCCUGAGCUCCUCCCUUUCCUCGGGGAAGAAAAGCAUUGAAACUACAAAAAUAAAGUGUUAUUUGGCUGGAGUGAGGUCUCAUGUCUGCUUAUGCGGUGGCUCGCUGCUCAGAACAGGAUGGAGUCUUGCUCUGCCGCCCAGACUGGAGUGCAAUGGCGCAAUCUCGGCUCACUGCAACAUUUGCCUCCCAGGAACCAUUGGAGAUACUCAUUACUCUUUGAAGGCUUACAGUGGAAUGAAUUCAAAUACGACUUAUUUGAGGAAUUGAAGUUGACUUUAUGGAGCUGAUAAGAAUCUUCUUGGAGAAAAAAAGACUGGGUAUAUUUUCAAUAUGCUUUCCUUUUAAGGUCCCUCACCUGUGGAAAGUAAAGAAUGUCACUUUCUGACAGGCUCAGGAACCUCAAGUUAUGUAGGGAUCUCAAGAAGAUGGGGGAAUUCACCCAGUUCAUACAGGUGAAAUUGCUGUUGCAAAGAUUAUGAAUAUGAGAGAAGUCCAGCAUGGCUGACUUCAUCUCGUGUCUGGCCUCAGGCUGGCUGCCCUUGCUCACUCUUGGGCAUAGGCCAAGCUAGCCAUGGGAGGAAUUUAGUUUAUAGUUUAACUUUGAAGCACGGAUGAUAAUAGUCUCUCCCUAAAAUGAACCCCUUCCUUGCUCAGGGACUGAAACUACCUUUGUAUGACAAAUGAAAGCCCACAAGAUUAAGAUUAUGAGAGGGGCCUGAAUUCUGCUAAAAUGCAGGUGUAGCUGACUGAUAACAAGUCAUUGUCCCACAGCUUGCCUUUCUAUAAUCUCUUGCUUCUCAGGAGUCACAUGGCCAGAGGUCCUGAGAUUUCCAGUCCUGUGACCCCCACCCAGAGAUGGACUUAGUGCAUGAGGACCAUUUUCCACACCCCUAUGAUUUCAUCCUCAAACAAUCAGCAGCAACCAUUCCCUAGCCCCCUGCCUUCCAAAUUAUCCAUAAAAAUCCUAGCCUCUGAGUUAUUAGGGAGAUUGAUUAAUAAUCCCAGUCCUACCCCUUGGGUUGCUCUGAUUUAAUUAAACCUUCUCUACUGCAAUACCACGGACUCAGUAAAUUGGUUUUGUCUGUGCAAUGGGCAAGAAGAACAUGUUGCAUGGUUAUACAGGUACUACAAGCACAGUCUGAUGGCAAAUUAUUGGUUUUGCUUCCUGCCCUUGAUGUUUCUAAACAUCUAGUCCAAAAUUACUUGUGAAAGGUCCAGCAAAGCCAAUUUUAAAAGAGGCUAUAUGGCCAAUCACUAUUCUUUCUACACAUUAUUGCAAAUAAUCAGGCCACGGCUGGGCACGGUGGCUCAUGCCUGCAAUCCCAGCACUUUGGGAGGCUGAGGCAGGAUCACCUGAAAUCAGGAGUUCAAGACCAGCCUAGGCAACAUGAUAAAACCCUGUCUCUACUAAAAAUACAAAAUUAGCCAGGCAUGGUGGCAUGCACCUGUAAUCCCAGCUACUUGGGAGACUGAGGGAGGAGAAUCACUUGAACCUGGGAGGCAGAGAUUGCAGUGAGCUGAGAUCACACCACUGCACUCCAGCCUGGGCAAUAGAGUGAGACUUUGUCUCAAAUAAUAAUAAUAAUAAUCAGACCAAGUAUAAUGAAAUUAAAAUUUAUUUUGCAAAUAAAUUGGUCCUACUACAAUUUAUCCUUCAUAGAAAUGUGGAAACUGAAGAUAAAAAAAAUUAGGUUUCAGAAGAAAACUAUACUACACCUGUUAUUAGAUUCUAGCCCUAAACAUUGUUUUUGAGGUUUUUAUUAUUUACCUGCAAUUUGGUCUAAAUUCUGAAUUAUUUCCUGACUACAAGUAUCCAAGGAAUAAAUGGGUUUUCUUUUUCUUUAUGAUAGUUUUAGUUGGCUUCUAAUGCAACAACAAUUUUUAUUGUAAUCCUGUGUGCAUUCUAUUCCUACUAUUCAAAUUAUUAAUGUUAUAGAUCUUUCAUUGUAGUACUUCUGAAUUAACCAAAAUCACAGUAUUCUGAAGAUGAUUCUACAAAGCCUGCUGUUUCUACAAAGGCUGCUGAUGAUUUCUACAAAGCCUGCUGUAGUGUUGCUGUGGCCUCUGCUUAAAAAAGUAGAAAACACAUUGAUGCAGCAUGUUCACCCCAACCUCCCUGCCUAAAGGCUCAGGGACCAUCUUGGAAGAGGAAGGCGCGUGAGAUUGUAAGAGCCGAAUUAGGGGGAUGGAGUGUGGAGAAUAAGGACACUUCAUCUUGGAUGCUCACCUGCCAAAUUGACUUCUGAUGAAAGCCAGCUCCAGAAAUGUGCCUACAGUUACUACUUUCACCUAAACCCUGCCCUUAGUCAAAUCCUUCUCUUCUUCUAAGCAAUCAACUUCAAUUCCUUGUAUAACCCACAGUAUAAAAGGGCUUUUAUACCAUUCUAUCCUAUUGCAUGUAAGCCUUGGGUCUGGGAGGUAACAGUGUGGGAUUCCACCAUCUCAUCUCCCUGCCACCCAAACAUGCCUGCUCUUCUUUAAGCAAUAUUAAAUGUUUGUACUUCAGAAA
RNAcentral lists this long non-coding RNA (2663 nucleotides) under Homo sapiens (human). Its description in RNAcentral is "PREDICTED lncRNA (TCONS_00142520)". The record is from RNAcentral. Lineage: Eukaryota; Metazoa; Chordata; Mammalia; Primates; Hominidae.